AAGAACACAUGCAUGGCUUCAUACUAACGAGCAUCCAUGAUCGGAUUUACACAUAAGCUAAACUCUCAAGGCAAGAUUUAAACCUAAACUCAGUUAACUCUUUCUCAACAUCAAUAGGAACAAACUAUAAGAGAUUAAGCAACAUCCCAAAUCCUUAAGAAAGCACAAGUUUGUUAUUACAGCAUGUUAUGAACAUAGGAUAACUAAAGUAGCACACAUAGUCCAAGGUUUGUUACAGGAUACAAAAGAAAUAGAAGAAACAGAUGAAAUAAAUAAAAAUUAAUCACAAAAAGACUUGUAUUCAAUCAGGCUUCAGCUCAUCAUACAUGUUCCCAGACACUUUGUUGACAAAGGUUUGGAUAAUACCUGAAUAAGAAAAACAAACAAGAGAAAUUGCCUGAGGUUAGGAUGAACCAACAGUAGUAUGUUAGCAAUACCAACAAAACCAAUCAACAACAAUACUCAAUCUUUCUAAACCACUUGGAAUCGAGAAAGAACCAAAAAUUUUUGAAAGGCUUUAAUGCAUGAAGAUAAACAGCAGAACCAAGCCAACUUCCACAUAAAUGUAAGAGACUUUUUUUAUCCCUCCAAAUCUAUGAAACAGUAAAUGUAUGCCACUCUUUUUCUGGAUUUUCAGCUCUUAAAAAUCUUUUAUCCCUCAAUGGAACAAUAUUUUCAGCUAUAUUUUGUUUUCAUAAUUGCUUCUUUCUUCAAGUCUCUCUAAAAGCCUCUUUUCGGAAUUUCAUUGCUCAAAAAACCUACCUUCUAAGGCAAGAAAGGUUAUCUUUAUAGGCAAGCAAACUAUGGUAACUCUUAGAUUUUAUUUUUCAUUUUAAGUCCUUUUAAUUUUCACUUGUUGCUUACCAAUCCUUAAUAUCCUGACUUGUUACCAAGUUAUACCAUCUAAAACCCUGAAAUUCAAAUUAGAACCCCCAACUAGAAGCUUCCCAAUUCUGUUAUUAAAGAUUCCCUAGCUAAUUUACCUAAACUACCUUUGCUUACCCUAAAGACCAACUUGGGUCCUUUAGUCUUAAUUGCCCAACCCAAAACCUAAAAUAAUUUUCGAACCAAAAACAAAAAGAAGAAGAAAAAUAAGAACUAUUUAAUAAAACAGGCUAAUAGCUAAACCUAAUCGGAACAGCAUAAACCCCUAUACUCAUGAAAUUAACUUCUGAUAAAACACAAAACUGAUUGUUAACGAUUAAAGUCUAAUCAUGCAAUUUAAAUGUAAAACACAAUAACUAAACCUUCCACAUAAUUGAAAUUGAAGAAUAAACUGAGAUUUAGACCUAAUCAUGAUUGUUCAUGCAAAUUUCCACUAUGAAAAUCCAGUUAAACUCGGACAAACAAACAAGAGAAAUAAGAAGUAAGAAACAGAAGGAAAGAAAAAGGGAAACCAAUCACAUAAAAAUCAGAAGUUAAUAAAGAAAUAAAAUGGGACUCAAGACUCGCCAGAAAUGGGAAUAAAGGAGGGUACGGUAGGGCUUUGUACAAUUUUGAAGCUGUUUGGAGAGGCUUGGUUCUGGACUGUGUCUUUCGAUUUAAUACUCGAGAAUAUAUAGGGGUGUUUGAAAGAUGUUGAGUGCAGAUUUGGCACGAGGGGGGACGUGGGUCAUUUGGUGUUAAUUUGGGGUGAUUUGGUGGUGGUGCUGCCUGUCCGGCGGAGGAGCCCAUAUUUAUGGCUAAACUUCGAGAGGCUAGGGUGGGAUUUGAGGGAUGGUGGUUGCAGAUUUGGGUAGAGGAGAGGGAGGUAAAUCAAUAGUGUAAUUUUGGGGGUGAUUGGAGUUCCGCCGCCGGCGAAGGUGAUUUCCGGCCGGCGGUGCACGGUAGUGAACAGCAGAAUUAUGGUGCUCUGGGGUUUCUAGUGAGAGAGGUUAGAG
RNAcentral lists this long non-coding RNA (1880 nucleotides) under Nicotiana benthamiana. RNAcentral describes it as "long non-coding RNA (NBEN_LNC026317)". Lineage: Eukaryota; Viridiplantae; Streptophyta; Magnoliopsida; Solanales; Solanaceae. The record is from RNAcentral.